Molecule: transfer RNA, 81 nt
Filed under: Dreissena polymorpha
Lineage: Eukaryota; Metazoa; Mollusca; Bivalvia; Myida; Dreissenidae
Description: tRNA-Sec
Source: RNAcentral
GUGGCUGGGCCGAGUGGUGAAGGCGAUAGACUUCAAAUCUUUUGGGAUCUUCCCGCGAAGGUUCGAAUCCGGCUGAUAACG